GCCAAACUCCUGUUUUUGUAUAUCCAAGAAUGUGUGGAAUGCAGGAUUGUUGCCACCAAAAUUUAUUGACACACCGAAACCACUCACACAUUACAAAGUGGUCGCAUCAGAGACCCCCAUUGCCGCCAUUACAUGUGAUGGAUUGAAACCAUGGUCUCACCACAUAUCCCAACCAGUUACUGCAAUUGUGUAGGUAGGCUACAAUAGGCUACAUUGACUUCCGCAUCUCUUAUGAACCAACAAUCAUGCACUGGUGAUGGAGAAAAACAAGGUCACCUGACUUGGCUACGCCGGCGCCAUCUUGCCAGCAAAAUGCAAUACAGUGAAAUGUAAUUUAUUGAUGAUUAAAACGAACAAAAAUCAUUAACAUUACCUAUCAUUGAGGUCAGUUCUGUAUGGCGCUCCGACAUUGCUUUAAAAAGCAUGGAAAACGUAAAGCUUUACGCGCUACUAAUUGUUUUUUCUCAAAUGCACCGACUUUGCUGGCUGAGAGAACACAUUUGAUGAGAAGCUGUCGCUCAUGUCAUGUACAUUUCAGGUCAUUUCGUUCUCGACAGUCUUCUUCCACUUUCCUGGCCAGUUUCCGCACCGUGCCUGCAGGAUCAUUUGGAACCAUUUUUGGGUAUUGCUGUUUGUCGCAUUUGCCAGCACCAUAUUUCCGCUGGGUGUGUCCCUCUGACUAUAUGCCCUUGUUCUGCCUUGAAUGUGAGAAGAGAACUGCAUACUGCGUGUUUCUUGUGCGCAGAGCAGUUUUCCACGUCGCUCGACCUUUCCCGCAACCAUCUCUCCCUCCCUUGCUCUGAAUAGAGCUCAAACUCAAACAUUUCCGCUUGAGACGAGGGGAAUAGGCAGGCUCGUUUGUAGGAAAAUAGCAACAUCAGGUAACUCUAUCAGGUCAGGUUGCUCUAAUGAUGUGUACAUUUGUAGCAACAUCGUAUUAUAGUAGCCUACUUUUGUAAAUGCAUUUACAAAAAGCCUACUUGCCUAUUUAGAGGAGUGGCCGGUUUUGGUUACACGAGGAAUAUGUUUCUUAAUAUAGCUAACACUUAUGUAGCUAAGGCUAAACUGGAGCCAAACAUUCUAAUUUCUAGGCUUCUAUUACUAAACAGCAUAACUCCAGUAGGCUACUUUGUAGGAAUGACCUUGUUACUACACAGGUAUACGACAAUUGGAGGAAACAUACAUAAUGCAGCCUGUAUGCUAUCUUUAACGGCACUCUCCCAUCUAUUUUGGUUUGAACUGAAACAACGUUACAGGAGUAGCCCCCUGGCACACUAUGAAUACAGGUUGAAUGGUGGCCUAGAGUUAACAAAUGAACAUUUACGAGUACUACGUGUGUAUGCAUGAAAGAUGCCACUUCCCAAAUGUAAUGUUUUAAUUCCAAAGGCCCAGAUGCAUUGCAGUCCUUCCUCCUACCUAGCAGGUAAUACAACUGAGUGUGAUGUAGUCGUUUUGAUUCAAGUUGAUUCAGGACCUACACAAAGACAGUUUUGUAGCCUAUAGGCCUAUACUAAGAGCUUAGGAUAUUUCGUUUUUUACAUAGGCCUAGUUGUCAUGUUGCAACUUGCUUGACUAGAUACAUUUUGCUUCAAUAAGCCUAUCAAGCUCAUGUAUUCACAUGUAGGCUGUUAAAUCACAGCUGCACAGCUCCACACCAUUGCCAUCUAGUGGUGGAUACAGUGCCUUGCCUACUUUAUUUCUAUGUAGCAGACAGGCAGCAUUAGGUCAUUAUUAUAUAUCAGCAGGGUAUGAUAUUUCUUAUAUAAGAGCUGGAAGCACCAGAAGGAAAUGUGCCAGCCCAGUAUGGCUGCAAGAGCACAACUUUAAAUGGUUGGGGGUAACAUAGUAAUUAUUGGAGGAUGAUGCAGCCAUGUGUUUUUAUUUAACCAGGCAAGUCAGUUAAGAACAAAUUCUUAUUUACAAUGACAGCCUACCACGGCCAAACCUGGAUGAUGCUGGGCCAAUUGUGGGCUGCCCUAUGGGACUUCCAAUCACAGCCGGUUGUGAUACAGCCUGGAAUCGAAGCAGGUUAUAACCUAAAGCUUGGGGUAUCAGUGGACUCUUCCUCAUACCAACGUGGGAUCCAGA
This is a long non-coding RNA of Oncorhynchus gorbuscha (pink salmon), 2088 nucleotides long. RefSeq lists it as uncharacterized. The record is from RefSeq and is a predicted model, not a curated record. The transcript is spliced from 2 exons. Lineage: Eukaryota; Metazoa; Chordata; Actinopteri; Salmoniformes; Salmonidae.